RNAcentral lists this ribosomal RNA (370 nucleotides) under uncultured organism. Its description in RNAcentral is "bacterial SSU rRNA". It matches the Rfam family "Bacterial small subunit ribosomal RNA", at positions 526 to 896 of the family's 1533-position model. The record is from RNAcentral.
CGUAGGCAGCGAGCGUUGUUCGGAGUUACUGGGCGUAAAGAGUGCGUAGGCGGUUUUCUAAGUUUGGUGUGAAAUCUCCCGGCUUAACUGGGAGGGUGCGCCGAAGACUGGAAGGCUUGAGUAUGGGAGAGGUAAGCGGAAUUCCUGGUGUAGCGGUGAAAUGCGUAGAUAUCAGGAGGAACACCUGCGGUGUAGACGGCUUACUGGACCAUAACUGACGCUGAGGCACGAAAGCGUGGGUAGCAAACAGGAUUAGAUACCCUGGUAGUCCACGCCCUAAACGAUGCAUACUUGGUGUGGGUAGUUCAUUCUAUCCGUGCCGGAGCUAACGCGUUAAGUACGCCGCCUGGGGAGUACGGUCGCAAGGCUG